CCACUGUUGAGGAGUCCUACAAUAGGACGAAACAAUCUUCCAGUAC
Molecule: non-coding RNA, 46 nt
Filed under: Schistosoma bovis
Lineage: Eukaryota; Metazoa; Platyhelminthes; Trematoda; Strigeidida; Schistosomatidae
Also listed under: 1 other name
Source: RNAcentral